Camelina sativa (false flax) is the source of this 103-nucleotide non-coding RNA. NCBI's taxonomy places the organism in Eukaryota, Viridiplantae, Streptophyta, Magnoliopsida, Brassicales, Brassicaceae. The record is from RefSeq and is a predicted model, not a curated record.
CCGGUGAAAGUUAUGGAAACUAUGUCCUCCAGUUUGCAGAUGACUUUUCAUACACAGAUCCUGUUGAUGGAAGUGUUGCAUCCAAGCAAGGUGUUCGGUUUGU